AGAACGAACGCUGGCGGCAUGCCUAAUACAUGCAAGUCGAACGAACACUUCGGUGUUAGUGGCGCACGGGUGCGUAACGCGUGGGAAUCUGCCCUUGGGUUCGGAAUAACAGUUGGAAACGACUGCUAAUACCGGAUGAUAUCGAAAGAUCAAAGAUUUAUCGCCCAGGGAUGAGCCCGCGUAGGAUUAGCUAGUUGGUGAGGUAAAGGCUCACCAAGGCGACGAUCCUUAGCUGGUCUGAGAGGAUGAUCAGCCACACUGGGACUGAGACACGGCCCAGACCCCUACGGGAGGCAGCAGUAGGGAAUAUUGGACAAUGGGCGCAAGCCUGAUCGGCAAUGCCGCGUGAGUGAUGAAGCCUUAGGGUUGUAAAGCUCUUUACCCGAGAUGAUAAUGACAGUAUCGGAGAAUAAGCCCCGGCUAACUCCGUGCCAGCAGCCGC
This 442-nucleotide ribosomal RNA is filed under the name uncultured soil bacterium. RNAcentral's name for it is "bacterial SSU rRNA". It matches the Rfam family "Bacterial small subunit ribosomal RNA", at positions 26 to 518 of the family's 1533-position model. The record is from RNAcentral.